GACGAACGCUGGCGGCGUGGAUUAGGCAUGCAAGUCGAACGGUAUCAUCCUUUCGGGGGUGAGAGAGUGGCGAACUGGUGAGUAACACGUAGGUUAUCUACCCUCAAGACGGGGACAACCCAGGGAAACUUGGGCUAAUACCGGAUGUGAGCAACUUUUUAGUUGUUUGAAAGGUGGCGUAAGCUGUCGCUUGGGGAUGAGCCUGCGUCCUAUUAGUUAGUUGGUGAGGUAACGGCUCACCUAGGCAAUGAUAGGUAGGCGGCCUUAACGGGUGGUCGCCCACACUGGGAUUGAGAUACGGCCCAGACUCCUACGGGAGGCAGCAGUCGAGAAUAGUCUACAAUGGUCGGAAGACUGAUAGUGCGACGCCGCGUGAACGAUGAAUCCCUUCGGGGUGUAAAGUUCUUUUAUAUGUGAGCAGUGCUUCUUAUAUUAAGAGUAUGGGGAGAGAGAUAUUAGCAUAUGAAUAAGCAACGGCUAACUCCGUG
Molecule: ribosomal RNA, 488 nt
Filed under: uncultured Candidatus Cloacimonas sp.
Lineage: Bacteria; Pseudomonadati; Candidatus Cloacimonadota; Cloacimonadia (SeqCode); Cloacimonadales (SeqCode); Cloacimonadaceae (SeqCode)
Description: bacterial SSU rRNA
Rfam family: Bacterial small subunit ribosomal RNA
Source: RNAcentral